Molecule: RNA transcript, 2637 nt
Organism: Solanum stenotomum
Lineage: Eukaryota; Viridiplantae; Streptophyta; Magnoliopsida; Solanales; Solanaceae
Exons: 14
Source: RefSeq, a predicted model, not a curated record
UUUUGGCUUAUUAUAAUUAGGAAAUUCUCUUAUUAAUAACAAGUUUAAAGAAAAGAACCUAACAGUAAAUUAUACACCCUUUUUCUUCCCGAGACCUCCUUUUGUUGCUACUACUAUUUUCCGAUCAAUUCAACAAAAUCUAGAUUUAUCAAUCAUCGGCGACAGGGAAGAAUUAUUGUGAUUUUUCAAGUAUGUUUUUCUCCGGUGAUCCUUCGACGAGGAAGCGAGUCGAUUUGGGUGGCCGCAGCUCCAAGGAACGUGACCGACAGAAGCUUCUAGAGCAGACUCGUUUAGAGCGGAAUCGUCGCCUCUGGUUGCGUCAGCAGAACUCUGCUGCCCUCAAAAUUCAGAAAUGCUUCAGAGGUAGAAAGGAGGUUGAAACUGAAUGUUCUAAAGUUCGCGAGAAUUUCUUGAAAACUCAUGGGGAACGCUGCCACACUGUUGACAGGCAGUGCUUCAGUCCAGAUUCAGAUUUUCUGCGUCACCUACUUUUCUUUUUCAAUCCAACAUACACUACUGAUGUUUCUGUCCUUGUGGAGACAUGCCGAUCGCUUCUAGAGUUUGUUCGAGAUAACGGGGAUGUUGUUAGCCUCUUUGCUGGUACGGAAUAUGCUUCCAAAGCUGCCUUGGUGAGAUACAGAGUGAAGAAAUUCGCUCAUGCUUGUAUUCGGGCUGUUUAUGGAAACAGGAAUAAGUUGAGAGAUCAACUUUUUAUGGAAUCUGAGAAGUCCUGUACAUCAGCAAUCCUCUUGUUGGAUGCAGUAACAUUGUUGAUUGAUUUAGGGCUUCCUUGGGCUUGCAGCACUGUCACCUAUCUUCUUCAAAGGAAUAUAUAUUCCUUAUUUCGGGAAAUUGUUCUGAUUGGCAAGGAUAGAAGCUUUCCAGCUUCCAACAGGGUUGUAUCUUCAUUCGAGCGCGUGCUUGGACUAAUUACAUCUCAUAUUGGUCAAGGCACUUGUACUUGCCCAACUGUUGAUCCACAAUGUUUCUUUCCCUCCCAGAUUCUUACAAUUCCAUUUUUAUGGCGGUUUUUCCCUCACCUGAAAGAGAUCUUUGCAAGUCCAUCAGUGAGUCGUCAUUAUUUUCAUCAGAUGAAAUUAUGCAUGAAAGACCAUAUUAAUGUCCUCCCUCCUGAUAUAGCGAUUGAUCUUCCUGGUUAUGCUUGCCUUCUUGGGAAUCUAUUGGAAGUUGCCGGGCUUGCUUUUGCUCAGCCAGAAUCAUUCACUAUGGUUGGAAAACAUGUUCAUUGGAUAACCAAAUCGAGGAUGAAGUCAGAACCAAAUUCUGAAAUGGCUAAUGACAAAGUUACGGUGGUUGUUGCUGCACCAACCCGAACUGCUGCACUACUAGCAGAGAAACCGAGAAAAUUCUCUGGUGUAAAUUUCAAAGGAUUGCAGCAAUGGGUAUUUUUCUGGAUUACCACUCUUGGUCUGCAUAAAUUUACCAAUGUAGUAACUCCAGUGCCUACUGCGAAAAUACCAUACAGAGAAAAAUUCAUGAUUAUUGAAGCAUGGAAACAGGCAGACUUCCUAUGUAAGGGCUACAUUUUGAGUGCUUUAGAGGAUGAUUCAUAUAAUGUCUAUAAUGCAAUGACAACUUCGAAAGAAUUGUGGGAUGCACUUGAGAAGAAAUAUAAGACAGAAGAUGCAUGCUUGAAAAAGUUUGUGGUCGCAAAGUUUUUAGACUAUAAAAUGUCAGAUAGUAAAACUGUAGGAUCGCAAGUGCAGGAACUUCAACUUAUUUUCCAUGAUCUGAUUGCUGAAGUAAAUGAAGCAUUUUAAGUGGCUGCAAUGAUCGAGAAGUUACCUCCUUCGUGGAACGACUUCAAGAAUUAUUUAAAGCACAAACGUAAGGAAAUGAAGCUUGAAGAUCUUGUGAUUUGGCUCAAGAUUGAGAAAGAUAACAAAACCGCCGAAAAGAAGUCUCGUAAGAAAGCUCCUACCAAAGACAAGAAGAGAAGGAAGUCCAACGGACAAAAGACAGAACAGGCCAAGAAAAAUUUCAAGGGCAACUGUUACAAUUGUGGUAAGGCUGAAAGGCAAAGGCAAAAGCCAAGCAAACAUUGUGGAAGAGAUGGAAGAUGCAGAUGACCUUUGUGCAAUGAUCUCGGAGUGCAACUUAGUUGGAAAUCCCAAGGAGUGGUUUCUCGACUCAGGUGCCACUAGACAUAUUUGCUCUGCGAAAGAAGCCUUUGCAACAUACACUCCUGCUGAGGUUGAUGAAAAUUUGUUCAUGGGAAACACAGCAACAACAAGGAUUGCAGGAACUGGGAAGGUAAUAUUGAAGAUGACAUCCGGUAAGGUGUUGACUCUGAACAACGUUCUACAUGUUCCUAUUAUAAGGAAGAAUUUAGUUUCUGCUGCACUGCUCAUUAAAAAUGGGUUUAAUAAGGAUGAAGCAAUUGAUGCAUUUAAGCAAUACAAAAAUGAAGUGGAAAAUCAAUUGAAUCUAAAGUUAAAAAUGAUUCGAAGUGAUAGGGGUGGAGAAUAUGAAUCUCUUUUUGCUGAGAUAUGUUUGGAAUAUGUAAAAUGGUUUGGCUUAAUGGAAGAACAAAACAUUAAUGGAAAUGAUGAAUGCCUUGAUAAUCAGUUUUGGUUCACCAAGAAAUCUAUGGGGAGAAACCAUCCUUACGGUUAA